Small nucleolar RNA from Thalassophryne amazonica, 218 nucleotides. RefSeq annotates it as small nucleolar RNA U3. The transcript has a single exon. The record is from RefSeq and is a predicted model, not a curated record. NCBI's taxonomy places the organism in Eukaryota, Metazoa, Chordata, Actinopteri, Batrachoidiformes, Batrachoididae.
AAGAAUAUACUUUCAGGGAUCAUUUCUAUAGUCUCUGACUUGAGGAAAUCUGUUUCUAAAGUGUUCUGUCUCGCCAACCACGAUGAAGAGUCCUGAUACUUCUUCCUGAGCAUGAAGUGGACAGAAAGAAAUGAUACAUUUCAUCUGCUUUCUGUCUUUGAUGAUUGUUUAUUGUCUUCACUCAGGGGUGAUGAGAGGAGGAGUAUGGUCAGCGUGGU